GUUUCCCCACAGGGCGGUUUGGGGAGCUGUGCUGUGGCUGCUUGCAGCUCCCCGGUCGCCAGGAGCUGCCUGUAGCCGUGCACACGCUGAGGGACAGCGCCUCCGACUCACAGAGGCUCGGCUUCCUGGCCGAGGCCCUCACGCUGGGCCAGUUUGACCAUAGCCACAUCGUGCGGCUGGAGGGCGUUGUUACCCGAGGAAGCACCUUGAUGAUUGUCACCGAGUAUAUGAGCCAUGGGGCCCUGGACGGCUUCCUCAGGGUGAGUGGCCCUGGGGCUGCCAAUGACCACUUUAUUCUGUAAGGCGGGCAGGGGUCCCUCACUUUUCUCUUUGGUAGGGCUUGGAAUUGGCAUCAUCCCCACUG
This 364-nucleotide small RNA is filed under the name Pongo abelii (Sumatran orangutan). RNAcentral's name for it is "retained intron". The record is from RNAcentral. Lineage: Eukaryota; Metazoa; Chordata; Mammalia; Primates; Hominidae.